RNAcentral lists this transfer RNA (67 nucleotides) under Tinamus major (great tinamou). RNAcentral describes it as "tRNA-Cys". Lineage: Eukaryota; Metazoa; Chordata; Aves; Tinamiformes; Tinamidae. The record is from RNAcentral.
GGCUUUGUAGUGAAGUUCAUAUUGAGUUGCAAACUCAUUGAUGUGCAGUAAAUGUGCACCGAAGCCU